GACGAACGCUGGUGGCGUGCUUAACACAUGCAAGUCGAACGGGAUUUAGUAAACAGAAGCCUCGGUGGAAGAUUACUAAUGAGAGUGGCGAACGGGUGAGUAACGCGUGAGCAACCUGCCUAUGACAGUGGGAUAGCCUCGGGAAACCGGGAUUAAUACCGCAUAAAAUCGUAGAAACACAUGUUUUAACGGUCAAAGAUUUAUCGGUCAUAGAUGGGCUCGCGUCUGAUUAGCUAGUUGGUGAGAUAACAGCCCACCAAGGCGACGAUCAGUAGCCGGUCUGAGAGGAUGAACGGCCACAUUGGAACUGAGACACGGUCCAAACUCCUACGGGAGGCAGCAGUGGGGAAUAUUGCACAAUGGGGGAAACCCUGAUGCAGCGACGCCGCGUGAACGAUGAAGGUAUUCGUAUCGUAAAGUUCUGUCCUAUGGGAAGAUAAUGACAGUACCAGAGAAGAAAGCUCCGGCUAAAUACGUG
Molecule: ribosomal RNA, 478 nt
Filed under: uncultured bacterium
Lineage: Bacteria
Description: partial 16S ribosomal RNA
Rfam family: Bacterial small subunit ribosomal RNA
Source: RNAcentral